This 460-nucleotide ribosomal RNA is filed under the name uncultured bacterium. Its description in RNAcentral is "partial 16S ribosomal RNA". It matches the Rfam family "Bacterial small subunit ribosomal RNA", at positions 338 to 795 of the family's 1533-position model. The record is from RNAcentral.
CCUACGGGUGGCAGCAGUGAGGAAUAUUGGUCAAUGGCCGGAAGGCUGAACCAGCCAUGCCGCGUGAAGGUCAGUGCCCUAUGGGCGUUAAACUUCUUUUGUGCGGGAGCAAUAAUGGUCACGUGUGGCCAGACGAGAGUACCGUACGAAUAAGCAUCGGCUAACUCCGUGCCAGCAGCCGCGGUAAUACGGGGGAUGCAAGCGUUAUCCGGAUUUAUUGGGUUUAAAGGGUGCGUAGGCUGUGAGGUAAGUCAGCGGUGAAAUGCCCCCGCUCAACGGGGUGAAGUGCCAUUGAUACUGCCUGGCUGGAAUGCGGAUGCCGUGGGAGGAAUGUGUGGUGUAGCGGUGAAAUGCAUAGAUAUCACACAGAACACCGAUUGCGAAGGCAUCUCACGAAUCCACGAUUGACGCUGAUGUACGAAAGCGUGGGUAUCAAACAGGAUUAGAUACCCUUGUAGUC